Molecule: long non-coding RNA, 2729 nt
Filed under: Homo sapiens (human)
Lineage: Eukaryota; Metazoa; Chordata; Mammalia; Primates; Hominidae
Description: HSALNT0169947
Source: RNAcentral
UCCUUUUGUGCAGACAUCUGUCUGCUCUCGUAUGUGGUCCUCGGCUGUCUAAGGAUGCUGCCUCUGCAGGAGCUUGAAUCGCGACCCAGGAUCGCUCCAGGCAGUCUGCACACUCCAUGCCCCAGCCACAGUCACAAUCCUCCAGUAACAUUUUGCAGGAAGCCUGGCAUGAGGAGAAGGUUUGACCACUAUAUGUUGGAUUAUACUGAACUCUGGUAACAUUCUGAAAUUGCCAGAAAAAAGAAUGCUCCAAGUUCCACAAAAGAAAAAUGGAGCACAUCUAGAAGAACUAAAAUCAAGAGAGCUUCAAACUUCUCAACUGUAACAAUCAAAGCAAGAAGAGAGCGGAAUAACGGUUUCAUAAUAUCUAAAGAAAAAGGAUGUGUAUCAGGAACUGAACAGGAUAGAAUAAAAUUAAUACGACAUGCAUCUCUUGAGUGUCUACUCUGUAUCAAGAACCAUGCUAACUCAAAAGCACAGUGGUGAGCAUAUUACACGUGGAUUCUGCCCCUGCUGCUGCAAACUCACCAAAGAACAUGCUGGACACACAGCUCAGAAAAGGGCCAGGGGCCAGGCUGCAGUGCAUUCUGCCAGGGCUCUGGAAAGCAGGGGCCAUGCUGACUGAGGAUGUGAGGGAAUGCUUCCCGGUGGCAGUAGCAUUUGAGGUCUUGCAGGAUAGAGGAUGACCAUUCCAGGGAGGGGCACUGAGCACAGCAUGGACAUACAAAGCUGGUGACACCAGGUCAGAGGAAACAGACACACUCAGCUUCCCAUGAGUGCAUGAAAGAUCCAGGCUGGAGCCUUCUCUGGGAGGAAGUUGGUCUGGGGUGGGGCCGAGGGGGCCGAGUCUCCCAUACCUGAGGGAAGAGACGGUUAGACGUUGCACGUGUGUAUUCUCAUCCCUCCGUCUCCUCUCUCACGAAGGCAUUUUCUUGAGUGCUUCCUCUCAUGAACACUCUUCAGUGGGCCCACUGCACACCAUUCCUCUGCCUCCUUUUUCUCCACCUACUAGCAAGGCUAAGCUCCCAGCCUGCCCUAGCCUGGACACCUGCUGGCAAAAAUCUGCAGCCCCACUGACUGGCCUCAACCUGAAAUCAGGACCUCAAAGGACAAUCAACCAUGCAGCCAACUCACCUGCCCUGCUUUUGUGUAUUUCCUCUCCCACUCUCCAACGUGAUUCUUCCACACCAUCUUCUCCCCCUCUAUCUUCUCAAACUCUUCAUUUGGCAUCCCCCUACCAAACUCCCAGCCAGGACCUUAUUCUUAUGUCACUGAGCAAAACCAUUAGAUGGGGACCGAGCAUCUUCCCACCACCACCUCAGCCCGUCACCUGCAUCUGUCUCUACUUUCAUGUCCUGGAGGAGGAAGAGCCUUGCUCCCAUCAGAGGGAGCUCCUCCUCCUGGGUGGGGGGAACUUCUUUUGCCUUCCCGGGACUUUGCAUCUGCAAUUGUGCCCCUGUCUCUGGCAUCGCUAAUCAUCCCCAUUGGAUAAUGGCCUGUAGCAUGCAUGAAGAUGUCUUAAGGAGACUGUCCUCUGGGGCCCCUCAUCUCUAUCCAGCGAUGACUACGCUUCUUUUCCGGGCCAACCAAGGCCCCUGCUGGGUGAGGUGUGUGUUCAUGUGUUGGUCCCCAAUGUCCCUUGAUUGAAGAGUGAUGUCUAUUUUUUCUGCUGGCGCGCUGGCCAGGUGGCUGCCUCUAGCUCCCCUGGCUCCCCUGCUGUGAUAAAAAUCUCCCCAAUCCCAGGCUUUUGUGUCCUGCAGCAAAACAGCCUUGCCUUGCUCCUCUCCUAGUGGAUCCCAAUCAGGCUUUAUAUUUUAGCUAAAGACUCACUUCCUCAGCGCACCUGUUCCCCUGGCCACCGACGCCAACUGUCCCUCCCAUUAGAGGCUUCCCCUGCGUCUCUGUAGACCUGGCACCGUGAGAGUGUCAGAUUUGAGUGGUGUGUUUUUUGAUAUGAGAAUGUUGGCUGAAAGUUAGAAGACUUGCUCAUGAGCCCCUUGCUCCUCUGCGCAGGAGCCUGAAGCCAGCCCCAGUGGCUUUGUCCUGACCGUAUGCCGCUGCCCUGAGGACCACACUCUCUCCUGGCUGGCAGCCCCGCUCCAAAGCUGCCUGAGCACUUCCAGCCGGAACUUGGGGCGGGUGGACAUCCCUUUCAUGAAUUGUCAGUUUACCGUUGAAGAAUGGGAGGAGGGAGAAUUGAAAGGAAAGGAGAGAGGGAGGAGUGCCUUGUGAAGAUGGAGGCGGAGUUGGCACCUCACUGCUGCAGCUGAGGUGUACCAAAGUGUCACCAGAAGCUGGGACAAAGCCAGGGAUGGCUCCUCCUUCAGAGCUUCAGAGGAGCCCACCUUACCAACACCUGGACUCCUGGUCUCCAGAGCUGCAGGAGAACACACUUCUACUGCUUGGAGCCCCCUGCAUUGUGAGAAGUUGUUACUGCAGCCCCAGGAAAUGGAUACAACAAUCAAAAAACAUCAGGGGAUUUGGUAACAUGGAUCUCAUUGGCAUAAAAUAAAUAGGCAGAAAAUCUAAUUCUUUAAAUUUGAUUGCAUUUUGACACAUUGGCUGAUCCAUUUUACUAUCCACUAAUUGAAUAAAUACAUGAAAACUAUUUUGUUUUUAAAAAUGGAGGUGACAGGAGCCUGCAGUGCAGGUUAGAGGACACACAGAGGGAGGUGACCCCCAGGACCCAGCUGACCCCAUAGGAUAGAAUAUUCCAAGUGUUGCAGCCU